UAAGCGAGCAGUGAAAGACUCCGGCUCAACCGGAGGUACAUUGUUCGAACUACUAAGCUAGAACAUAGUAGAGGUACCUGGAAUUCCAAGUGUAGGAGUGAAAUCCGUAGAUAUUUGGAGGAACACCGAUGGCGUAGGCAGGGUACUGGGCUAUUGUUGACACUAAGGCACGAAAGCGGUGGGGAGCGGAACGGGAUUAGAUACCCCGGUAGUCCCACGCCGUAAACUAUGCUUGCUA
Molecule: ribosomal RNA, 238 nt
Filed under: uncultured Candidatus Saccharibacteria bacterium
Lineage: Bacteria; Candidatus Saccharimonadota
Description: partial 16S ribosomal RNA
Rfam family: Bacterial small subunit ribosomal RNA
Source: RNAcentral